This 318-nucleotide ribosomal RNA is filed under the name Triticum aestivum (bread wheat). RNAcentral's name for it is "partial small subunit ribosomal RNA". The record is from RNAcentral. Lineage: Eukaryota; Viridiplantae; Streptophyta; Magnoliopsida; Poales; Poaceae.
AUGGGGAUCCAGGCUCUGAUGGAUGUUCGGUGCAAGAACCUAGUAAAUCCUGUAUGCGAUUGGCACGAUGAGAUAUAUGAGCCUGCGUCUAGGGAAUUCGUGAUUCCGGGACAUGGAAGACUGCCUUUGGAUGAGGAAUCUGUGUUAUGCACUUUGGCUGUGCCCCGUGGAGAAAUCAGAGUGUCGUAUGAGGUGGAUAAUGAGAUUGAGGAAGCUUUGUUCGCCCAUUUGUUUCCUGGGAUGGCAUCCAUGCCUAAUACGAUUGCGCUGACAACUUCUCUAGAGGGCGUGAGAACGCAUGGCGAGGAUUUAAGAUGA